Molecule: small nuclear RNA, 107 nt
Filed under: Gorilla gorilla gorilla (western lowland gorilla)
Lineage: Eukaryota; Metazoa; Chordata; Mammalia; Primates; Hominidae
Source: RNAcentral
GUGCAAGCUUCGGCAGUACAUAUACGAAAACUGGAAUAAUACAGAGAAGAUUAGAAUGACCCCUGUACAGGUAUGACAAGUGAAUUCGUGAAGCGUUCUAUAUCUUU